AUUUCUUUAGUAUAACUAGUACAACUGACUUCCAAUCAGUUAGCUCCAGAUCAACCUGGAAAGAAGUA
This 68-nucleotide transfer RNA is filed under the name Canis lupus familiaris (dog). RNAcentral's name for it is "tRNA-Gly". It matches the Rfam family "tRNA". Rfam says of the family: Transfer RNA (tRNA) molecules are approximately 80 nucleotides in length. Their secondary structure includes four short double-helical elements and three loops (D, anti-codon, and T loops). Lineage: Eukaryota; Metazoa; Chordata; Mammalia; Carnivora; Canidae. The record is from RNAcentral.